UCCAGACUCCUACGGGAGGCAGCAGUGGGGAAUACUGCACAAUGGGGGAAACCCUGAUGCAGCGACGCCGCGUGAGUGAAGAAGUAUUUCGGUAUGUAAAGCUCUAUCAGCAGGGAAGAAAAUGACGGUACCUGACUAAGAAGCCCCGGCUAACUACGUGCCAGCAGCCGCGGUAAUACGUAGGGGGCAAGCGUUAUCCGGGUUUACUGGGUGUAAAGGGAGCGUAGACGGCAUGGUAAGUCAGAUGUGAAAGACCGGGGCCCAACCCCGGGACUGCAUUUGAAACUGUCAGGCUGGAGUGCAGGAGAGGUAAGUGGAAUUCCUAGUGUAGCGGUGAAAUGCGUAGAUAUUAGGAGGAACACCAGUGGCGAAGGCGGCUUACUGGACUGUAACUGACGUUGAGGCUCGAAAGCGUGGGGAGCAAACAGGAUUAGAUACCCUGGUACA
This 447-nucleotide ribosomal RNA is filed under the name uncultured bacterium. RNAcentral's name for it is "bacterial SSU rRNA". It matches the Rfam family "Bacterial small subunit ribosomal RNA", at positions 330 to 794 of the family's 1533-position model. The record is from RNAcentral.